GCCUGAGAGGAGCUGGCCGGGUGAAGUGACUCUGCAGCUCCCCCUACAGUUCAGUCAGCCCAGCCUCCACAUAAGUGUAAUGAUGCUGUGCUGCAGCUGCACAUAACAGACAGAGCCUGCCCUGCCCUGCUGCCUUGAAGUCCUCCGUCUCCGGGCUACCCACAUGUCCUUUGCGGGUGACUUCCCAUUGAUGAUGGAAUAUACUUAUGGUUUUACAGCCAAGCCAGUGGUUCCAAUGGCUCUACCCAUAUCUUCGGGAUUUGGGUGGUCUACAGGAUUAAUUAUGACCUUCCACAGCUUCUCAUGUUGUAUAUGCAUUUCUAUAGUGAAUUUUUAAAGUAGAGUUGUUCUUUGAGCAUUUCAAUUUUAUGUAAUUUAUACAUGGAAAAUAAAUUUUUACAUUCAAUACAAA
Long non-coding RNA from Pseudophryne corroboree (corroboree frog), 412 nucleotides. RefSeq lists it as uncharacterized. The record is from RefSeq and is a predicted model, not a curated record. The transcript is spliced from 2 exons. NCBI's taxonomy places the organism in Eukaryota, Metazoa, Chordata, Amphibia, Anura, Myobatrachidae.